AUCUGGUGGUGAGGACAACUUGCACACAAUUUCUUGAAUCUCUCCCAGUACUCAUACAAGGUCUCUCUACCAAGUUUCUUGAUCCCUGGUAUAUCUUUUCUGAAGGU
Molecule: non-coding RNA, 107 nt
Organism: Cajanus cajan (pigeon pea)
Lineage: Eukaryota; Viridiplantae; Streptophyta; Magnoliopsida; Fabales; Fabaceae
Source: Rfam